Long non-coding RNA from Seriola dumerili (greater amberjack), 238 nucleotides. RefSeq lists it as uncharacterized. Lineage: Eukaryota; Metazoa; Chordata; Actinopteri; Carangiformes; Carangidae. The transcript is spliced from 3 exons. The record is from RefSeq and is a predicted model, not a curated record.
CCUGUCUCUGCUUGCCAGGAUGGCUCACCUGAAAAUACCCACACCUAGCUCCAGGUCUCUUGCAGGGGGUGACGAAGUUCCCGCAGACAUAGAUCUACCUGAGCAGGGGGAGACAAAAGAAGAUGAGGAGGUGAAGAAUGACAAGGAGACUCAACAGCAAAGAGUGGAUGAGGAGAGUGCAGCCAGUCUCCAGCCUGCAGAAUGCCAAGAGAGUCAGAUACAGACACAGAUGGAGGCA